ACGGUAGAGUACUCGGCUUUUAAGUGCG
This 28-nucleotide transfer RNA is filed under the name Typhonium glaucum. Its description in RNAcentral is "partial tRNA-Lys". Lineage: Eukaryota; Viridiplantae; Streptophyta; Magnoliopsida; Alismatales; Araceae. The record is from RNAcentral. RNAcentral also lists the same sequence under 2 other names.